ACAAGCAGCGGAGCGUGUGGUUUAAUUCGAUGCUACACGAAGAACCUUACCUGGGUUUGACAUAGAGGUAGUAGGGAAGCGAAAGCGGACCGACCCUUCGGGGAGCCUCUACAGGUGUUGCAUGGCUGUCGUCAGCUCGUGUCGUGAGAUGUUCGGUUAAGUCCGCUAACGAGCGCAACCCUCGCUGUGUGUUACAAGUGUCACACGGUACUGCCGAUAUUAAGUCGGAGGAAGGUGGGGAUGACGUCAAGUCAGCAUGACCUUUAUAUCCAGGGCUACACACACGCUACAAUGGCCAGUACAAUGGGUUGCCAAGCCGCGAGGCGGAGCCAAUCCUAAAAAGCUGGCCUCAGUUCAGAUUGCAGUCUGCAACUCGACUGCAUGAAGUUGGAGUUGCUAGUAACCGCAGGUCAGCAAUACUGCGGUGAAUACGUUCCCGGGGAUU
RNAcentral lists this ribosomal RNA (445 nucleotides) under uncultured Anaerolineaceae bacterium. RNAcentral describes it as "bacterial SSU rRNA". It matches the Rfam family "Bacterial small subunit ribosomal RNA", at positions 925 to 1378 of the family's 1533-position model. The record is from RNAcentral. Lineage: Bacteria; Bacillati; Chloroflexota; Anaerolineae; Anaerolineales; Anaerolineaceae.